Molecule: ribosomal RNA, 580 nt
Filed under: Penicillium citrinum
Lineage: Eukaryota; Fungi; Ascomycota; Eurotiomycetes; Eurotiales; Aspergillaceae
Description: eukaryotic LSU rRNA
Rfam family: 5.8S ribosomal RNA (bases 196-349)
Source: RNAcentral
GGAAGUAAAAGGUUGUAACAAGGUUUCCGUAGGUGAACCUGCGGAAGGAUCAUUACCGAGUGCGGGCCCCUCGGGGCCCAACCUCCCACCCGUGUUGCCCGAACCUAUGUUGCCUCGGCGGGCCCCGCGCCCGCCGACGGCCCCCCUGAACGCUGUCUGAAGUUGCAGUCUGAGACCUAUAACGAAAUUAGUUAAAACUUUCAACAACGGAUCUCUUGGUUCCGGCAUCGAUGAAGAACGCAGCGAAAUGCGAUAACUAAUGUGAAUUGCAGAAUUCAGUGAAUCAUCGAGUCUUUGAACGCACAUUGCGCCCUCUGGUAUUCCGGAGGGCAUGCCUGUCCGAGCGUCAUUGCUGCCCUCAAGCCCGGCUUGUGUGUUGGGCCCCGUCCCCCCCGCCGGGGGGGACGGGCCCGAAAGGCAGCGGCGGCACCGCGUCCGGUCCUCGAGCGUAUGGGGCUUCGUCACCCGCUCUAGUAGGCCCGGCCGGCGCCAGCCGACCCCCAACCUUUAAUUAUCUCAGGUUGACCUCGGAUCAGGUAGGGAUACCCGCUGAACUUAAGCAUAUCAAUUAAGCGGAGGA